UUGCUAGCUUGCUAAUAAUUCUCUAGUGGCGCACGGGUGAGUAACACGUGAGUAACCUGCCUCACACUGGGGGAUAACAGUUAGAAAUAGCUGCUAAUACCGCAUAAGCGCACGGUUCCGCAUGGAACAGUGUGAAAAACUCCGGUGGUGUGAGAUGGACCCGCGUCUGAUUAGCCAGUUGGCGGGGUAACGGCCCACCAAGACAGCGAUCAGUAGCCGGCCUGAGAGGGUGACCGGCCACAUUGGGACUGAGACACGGCCCAAACUCC
RNAcentral lists this ribosomal RNA (269 nucleotides) under uncultured Lachnospiraceae bacterium. RNAcentral's name for it is "partial 16S ribosomal RNA". It matches the Rfam family "Bacterial small subunit ribosomal RNA", at positions 72 to 339 of the family's 1533-position model. The record is from RNAcentral. Lineage: Bacteria; Bacillati; Bacillota; Clostridia; Lachnospirales; Lachnospiraceae.